AUGAAGGUCUGCAUCGUAGC
This 20-nucleotide microRNA is filed under the name Physcomitrium patens. RNAcentral describes it as "ppt-miR902d-3p". Its record names the gene ppt-miR902d-3p. The record is from miRBase by way of RNAcentral. Lineage: Eukaryota; Viridiplantae; Streptophyta; Bryopsida; Funariales; Funariaceae.